This 444-nucleotide long non-coding RNA is filed under the name Solanum tuberosum (potato). RNAcentral describes it as "long non-coding RNA (STUB_LNC005729)". Lineage: Eukaryota; Viridiplantae; Streptophyta; Magnoliopsida; Solanales; Solanaceae. The record is from RNAcentral.
GUGAUAGACCCAAGCUAGGCUUAUGAAUUUUGGAAGAAGAACCCCAUGGUAUUCAGAGGAUGAUAGAACUAUUUGAGAGAUAAUGCGUAGUAAGUGAGUAAAUAGUACUUGAGUUAUGAAAUGAAAGGUGAAGGUAAUCUGUAGGUAGGUGGACGGAGAGCUAAAGAUUUCCUACUUGUCAUGAGAUCUUAGUGGCUUGGUGAGUGUUUCUUGACUUUUCUAGUAGGCGCAAGUAGUAUAAGAAGUGAACAAUUAUAUUGAUAUCCGUGUUUGGAAAUAGACACUAAGGUUGAAUUUGAGAUGAGUGGCGUGAACAAAAGAUGGCAACAUAAGUGUGAUGGUGUUAGUUUUGAAAACUAAUCUAGUAGGUUUGACCUGAGAUAGGUGAGGAAUUAAAGUGUUACUUUGCAAUGAAAAUGUGGUAUUAUGACCUAUAGAGAGGAG